Molecule: non-coding RNA, 437 nt
Organism: Nerophis lumbriciformis (worm pipefish)
Lineage: Eukaryota; Metazoa; Chordata; Actinopteri; Syngnathiformes; Syngnathidae
Source: RefSeq, a predicted model, not a curated record
GCUUCGGUGAAUCGGUGCUUCGUCUACGACGGGGCGCGUUUGAACAUUAUAAUACAUGUAUGUUUGUUUUCCAUGGUUUCAUAACGCCGUUUUUUAGUGUAAUUUAGGUGACGUCCUGUUUACGUGAAGAUUGACAGCCGUCCUAGCAGAGAAGAAGGUACAGCGGAAGAUUCCCAUUUGGACCAUUUUUUUUCUUUUAUUUGAUGCUAUUUCUCAACAAGGUGCUCCGGCAGCUGCCCUGGAGGACCCAAGUGCUCAUUUACCCGCCUGGUCCGAUCUAAAGUAGAGCCAUGCAGGCGCCGCCAUUGUUUCUGCUGCUUCUCGCCGCUCUUCCAUCUCUUGUGGUGCCCAUACAUAAUUCAUCAGCCAAAGGCUGCGCCAUCAUCCGGCCUCCGAGAGAUGGAGGGAUUCGAUACAGAGGCCUGACGCAAGAGCAG